Molecule: transfer RNA, 76 nt
Filed under: Candidatus Omnitrophota bacterium
Lineage: Bacteria; Pseudomonadati; Candidatus Omnitrophota
Description: Candidatus Omnitrophica bacterium tRNA-Lys
Rfam family: tRNA
About the family: Transfer RNA (tRNA) molecules are approximately 80 nucleotides in length.
Source: RNAcentral
GGGCCGCUAGCUCAUCCGGUAGAGCACCGCCCUUUUAAGGCGGGGGUGCUUGGUUCGAGACCAAGGCGGCUCACCA